AAACAACCAGAGAACUGGUGAACCAAACAGGUCAAGUUCAAGCAGGUAAGGAGGGCAGUUUGCAGCCCAUGGGGGUUGUACAAUAACCAUUUGAAUUAGGCACCAUACCAAGAUGUGACAUAGAACUGGUGAACCAGCCUGGUCAGGUUCAAGCAUGUAGGGAGGGUAGUUUGCAGCCCAUGGGGGUUGAAUUUGAGUCUUCUG
RNAcentral lists this unclassified non-coding RNA (204 nucleotides) under Hevea brasiliensis (rubber tree). The record is from RNAcentral. Lineage: Eukaryota; Viridiplantae; Streptophyta; Magnoliopsida; Malpighiales; Euphorbiaceae.